Molecule: long non-coding RNA, 309 nt
Filed under: Homo sapiens (human)
Lineage: Eukaryota; Metazoa; Chordata; Mammalia; Primates; Hominidae
Description: HSALNT0002787
Source: RNAcentral
GCAGUGGGAAGGACCCUGAAAAGUAAAUACUGCUAAUUCAAAUAUUUGCACAUAGAACUGGCAAUAGCCAAAUUAUUUUUCAAUGAAUUGGACAUUUAAUUUUAGCAAGAAUGUGCAAAAAUGUGAUUCAUCUGUGCUGGGAUUACAGGCAUGAGCCACUGCACCUGGCCUGUUUUUUGUUUUCUCAAGACAAGGUCUCGCUCUGUCACCCAUGCUGGAGUGCAGUGGUGCAGUCAUUGCUUACUGCAGCCUCAAACCCUUGGGAUCAAGCAGUCCUCCCACCUUAGUCUCCCAGGUAGCUGGGAACAC